AUUACUGGGCGUAAAGCGAGCGUAGGUGGCUUGAUAAGUCAGAUGUGAAAUCCCCGGGCUUAACCUGGGAACUGCAUCUGAAACUGUUAGGCUAGAGUAGGUGAGAGGGAAGUAGAAUUUCAGGUGUAGCGGUGAAAUGCGUAGAGAUCUGAAGGAAUACCGAUGGCGAAGGCAGCUUCCUGGCAUCAUACUGACACUGAGGCUCGAAAGCGUGGGUAGCAAACAGGAUUAGAUACCCUGGUAGUCCACGCCGUAAACGAUGUCUACUAGUCGUUGGGUCCCUUGAGGACUUAGUGACGCAGCUAACGCAAUAAGUAGACCGCCUGGGGAGUACGGCCGCAAGGUUAAAACUCAAAUGAAUUGACGGGGGCCCGCACAAGCGGUGGAGCAUGUGGUUUAAUUCGAUGCAACGCGAAGAACCUUACCUGGUCUUGACAUAUCUAGAAUCCUGCAGAGAUGCGGGAGUGCCUUCGGGAAUUAGAAUACAGGUGCUGCAUGGCUGUCGUCAGCUCGUGUCGUGAGAUGUUGGGUUAAGUCCCGCAACGAGCGCAACCCUUGUCCUUAGUUACCAGCGGGUUAAGCCGGGAACUUUAAGGAUACUGCCAGUGACAAACUGGAGGAAGGCGGGGACGACGUCAAGUCAUCAUGGCCCUUACGACCAGGGCUACACACGUGCUACAAUGGUAGGUACAGAGGGCAGCUACACAGCGAUGUGAUGCGAAUCUCAAAAAGCCUAUCGUAGUCCAGAUUGGAGUCUGCAACUCGACUCCAUGAAGUAGGAAUCGCUAGUAAUCGCGGAUCAGAAUGCCGCGGUGAAUACGUUCCCGGGCCUUGUACACACCGCCCGUCACACCAUGGGAGUUGAUUGCACCAGAAGUGGAUAGCUUA
This 888-nucleotide ribosomal RNA is filed under the name Psychrobacter sp. 21F07-MB1-404. Its description in RNAcentral is "bacterial SSU rRNA". It matches the Rfam family "Bacterial small subunit ribosomal RNA", at positions 550 to 1437 of the family's 1533-position model. Lineage: Bacteria; Pseudomonadati; Pseudomonadota; Gammaproteobacteria; Moraxellales; Moraxellaceae. The record is from RNAcentral.